Molecule: ribosomal RNA, 253 nt
Filed under: uncultured bacterium
Lineage: Bacteria
Description: partial 16S ribosomal RNA
Rfam family: Bacterial small subunit ribosomal RNA
Source: RNAcentral
UACGUAGGGUGCGAGCGUUAAUCGGAAUUACUGGGCGUAAAGCGUGCGCAGGCGGUUCUCCAAGUCCGUUGUGAAAGCCCCGGGCUCAACCUGGGAAUGGCAGUGGAAACUAGGGGACUGGAGUCUGGGAGAGGGUAGUGGAAUUCCUGGUGUAGCGGUGAAAUGCGUAGAUAUCAGGAGGAACACCGGUGGCGAAGGCAGCUCGCUGGGACGUGACUGACGCUGAGACGCGAAAGCGUGGGGAGCAAACAGG